ACUACGGGUGGCAGCAGUGGGGAAUAUUGCACAAUGGGGGAAACCCUGAUGCAGCGACGCCGCGUGAGUGAAGAAGUAUUUCGGUAUGUAAAGCUCUAUCAGCAGGGAAGAAAAUGACGGUACCUGACGAAGAAGCCCCGGCUAACUACGUGCCAGAAGCCGCGGUAAUACGUAGGGGGCAAGCGUUAUCCGGAUUUACUGGGUGGAAAGGGAGCGUAGACGGCCAGACAAGUCAGAAGUGAAAGCCCAGGGCUCAACCCUGGGACUGCUUUUGAAACUGCCGGGCUGGAGUGCAGGAGAGGUAAGCGGAAUUCCUAGUGUAGCGGUGAAAUGCGUAGAUAUUAGGAGGAACACCAGUGGCGAAGGCGGCUUACUGGACUGUAACUGACGUUGAGGCUCGAAAGCGUGGGGAGCAAACAGGAUUAGAUACCCUGGUAGUC
Molecule: ribosomal RNA, 440 nt
Filed under: uncultured bacterium
Lineage: Bacteria
Description: partial 16S ribosomal RNA
Rfam family: Bacterial small subunit ribosomal RNA
Source: RNAcentral